AACCGGUUCUCGGCUAGGGAGAAGGACGGGAGCGGUGGGAAGAGCGAGGGUGUAGAGAGGGAAGUUAGGGCUUUCGCUUUCUCCCCCCACUCCAGCGGCGGCGUUCGGUCCUCUGGGUGGAAUGUGCUCGCAGCAGCAGUGACGGCGGCCACAGCACGGGAGGCACCCGAGCCAUACACCCUGCAGCUGGAGAGAAAAGGAUGGCCGAGGUGGGAGAGACUAGAGUGAACCAGCAGGAGGAAGUCCCAGGGCCGCGAAGCUACGACGGAGAUCCGUCCUGGAAAAGCCUUCUCCACCCUGGGCACUUUAAGCGGCGGUGGCGGCAAACGGCAGGAGGUUGCAGACCCGACAGCGAGACUCCCUCAUUCCAGUCUUGCUCUGCCCUCCGGAGAUGACAAGUGAGAAAGAAGUGUCCGGCCGGGCCAUCCCCUUCAGAGAAGCAACCACUUCACAAGAAGAUUCUGAAGUUGGCCAUUUUUGAUCCCAGAACAGUUUCUCAUAGAUUAGAAAUAUUGGAGUCUACACAAAAAUCGAUAUUCAUUUACAAGAUCAUCACUAAACUUAUCUUGCAUAACGUCUCUGCCAGCCACAUUAACUGCCUGCAGAAAAGUUUGUUAUGACUGCCUGGUUUUGUAAAGUCCAGACAACUUUACACUAAGCUGAAUAAUGUUCAUUUACUCAAAAGCUAGUCUAAAAUUGUAGAGUUAAUGAACACUAAACCAAAGUUAGUGCUUUAACUGAAAGAUAAUUUACUGUACCCUUUGGAGUCCAGUCCGGUACCAUCAAGAUCUGGGAAAAUACAACUGGUAAGCACUUUAACUUUUUCUCAGAAAAUCAUUAUCUACUUCCUUCAUACUUACUUAACAUCUCAAGAAAAGGAAAGAAAGGGGGAAAAUAUCUAAAAUUUUAAUCUAAAUCUUUCUUAAACUGUGCAUUUCAAAUACAUAAAAUACUGUGUGAAAGGGUGUUAAAAGUAGUAUCUAGAAAUGGCUUCCAACUCUAUAACUUGGUGUAAGCCUUGUGGAAAGUAAUUUACCAACGACUGUCAAAAUUCACAAAUCUAAAGACUGUAGCAAGACUCUUGAGAUACCUUGUAACUAUUGGCAUGAUUCCUUUCUACUACAAUGAAAGUUUCUUCAGGGCAGGAAACACAUAUAUUCAUUUCUGUAUCCACAGAGUAAGCAAAGAUUCUGGGACAUACUGUCCUUCAUACGCGUAUUUCGAAUGAACGAAGGCUCCAUUUGGUAGUAUUUAUCAUCAGCUUCUUGGCCCUUACUACUCCCUUCUUUCAUUUAAAGCUUAUGUCUUAUGUCCUCUUCCCUGCCCAGCACUCUUUUUGGCUGUAUGCCUGAUAAGGGUGCUCUUCAGCUUGGCCUCCUUUGACUCUAUUCCUUCCCUGUUCUACUUUUAGAGUCUCAAUAAACUCUUGUUUCUUAUAGUGGAAAAAUGCAUUUAUAAAUCAAGACUGGGCAUUAAAUUUGCUCACUGCUGCUCAGGCAUUGUUGCUCCCGUGUCCAGUUGCUCCCAGUGAGCCACUCUAUUGGAGUUGGUCCCACAGUCAAGACCCUACUUUUCCCUAGCUCUAGCCUAGAAACUUGUCACCAGAGCAUUAAUCUACAUUUUAGAGAGGAUUACCUACCAAAAAAAAGUAUCAUUUUUCCUGAAUAAGUAAUAUGUUCUAGAAUCAGUGUGUGAUCCUCUCAGCUUCCUUUUUGGAAACCAAAUGAUGGUUCUCCUGGAGAAAGAAUUUGAGUAGAUGUUGAAACAAUUUAGGCUAUACAAUAGAGUCCUACUUGAUAGAAGAGUUAGAUUUUGAAAUCAGCAUAUAAGGUAAGAAGCACCUAAUGUCAAAUUUGCACUUGAAAAAAAUUCCUAAACUGUGCACACAUUGCAGUAAACCAUGAUUUUGUGGAUCCCUUCCUAUACAGCAACGUGCAUAUAUAGAUGUGCAUAGAAAGUAUGUGCCAUCUUACAAUAUUUUCAGUAUUUUAAUUAAGUUGAAUUUAAAUAAAUAAAAUACUCACAUGCUAUAACUCUGCUGUUUUAAGAACACUGUUACCAAUUCACUACAUUUACAUGAUGCCUAAAUAGCCAGCCAAUGCAGAAAGGUCAGUUAGAAAAUGAGGCCAGUGCUUGCCUCUCUUUCUUUCCAUUGAAAGGGUGUUACUGAGUGUCAGGGUCCACACAAAGCGGGAGCUAGAGUGGGCAUGAAGGCAGUUUGAUGGGAGUCAGGGUCUAUAGAGGGAGGGCUGCUGAGCAGGGCAGAGGCCUGGUAGAAUCAGAUGCUUGGCUCCACACAGGGAGUCCACUUUCCUAAUGCUGGAGAAGGUACAAACAUGGAAAGAGGAAAAGUUGAGAUGAAUGAUGUGUUAUUAGAUUGGAAUUGGAAGAGUGGAUAUAUAAAUAUAUAUGACAUGUAAAUAAACAUGGAUUUAAGUGUGUGUCUGUAUGUAUCCAUUGAAGGGACCUGGGAGCAACAAUGCCUGAGCAGCAAUGAGCAAGUUUAAUGCCCAGUCUUGAUUUCUAAAUGCUUUCCACUAUAAGAAACAAGAGUUUAUUGAGACUCUGAAAGCAGAACAGGGGAAGAAUAAGGAGCUUUGAACAUGUUGGGCCAGAAGGUAAGAAAGUUCUCAGAAAAACAAUGAGAACAUGACCAAAGGAUCCAGGAGCCACCUUGAAGGAGCUCCUACUGACCAAAUCUGGAACAACUUAAGCAUAUAAAUAAGUAAUGAGAGUAGUGGAUUAUAAUCCACUGCAUAAAGAGGAACCCAUGAAUCCACAAUUAUAUAGUAAGUAAAUAGAUAAAUGGGAAGAAAAUAAAUGGGUAAGAGAUUAUUUCUUAAAUUAGAAUGCCAAGUAAUAAAUACAAAAGGAAUUCAAGCAAGACAUCAAUAAAUACUAAAAUUAGUGGAUGAAAGUGAGAUGAGAAACAGAAUUUUACAGAGUUUCAAAGUAUCUUUCUACAAAAUGUUUAAUUACAAAGGGAGAAAAAGUUAACAUUAUAGUGGAGAAACCUAACAGACACUAUCUGAUGAAGUGAUCAAAGUUAACACUCCCAGUAAUUGGAAAAAUCAGUAUCAUAUGUCACCUAAUCAAAUGCAAUGAGAAAAACACAACAUCACUUCUCUAAAAUUUAUAACCUGGUUAUAAUCAAGAGGAAACAUUGGACAACAGAAAUUUGGAGAACUUCUAUUGAAUAACUGACCUUGGAAAAUGUCAAGGCCAUGAAAGUCAAGUAGAGAUUGCAGAACUCAUUCAGACUAAAAGGAGAUAGAGAGACAUGGCAGACAAUGGAGUGUAACGUCUUCUCCUGAACUGGACCUUUUUACUAUAAAGACAUGAGAACAACUGGCAAAACUUGAAUCGGGUCUCUGGGAGAAGUAUAUUCAGGAGUCCACCAUACUGUUCAUGCAAAUUUAUUAAAUUCAUUCAUGUAAAUUUUCUGUAAGUUUGAAAAUGAAAAAAUAAAACCCACUUUAUUCUUAUUAAUUCUUUUUUUAGGCUCUCACUGUGCAGCUCUAAAGUUAUAUAAGCCAAGAAAGGGACAUUAAUGGGAAAUUAAUGACAGCAUCAAUAAAAUGGAAAAGAAGAUGAACUAAUUACAUAACAUCAACCAAUCAGUUUUUUCAAAACAGGUUUUACUGUUUGGGGUUUGUCUACUCUGUUGGCAUCCUGUAGGCACCAGCUUUGCCUAUUCACAUUUUCCUUUCACGUAGCUUGUGUACCCAUUUUAAACACAGCAAAAGAUACUUUGAGAAUACCUUCUGCACUACUUUUAUCUUUUAUUUUCUUUCCUUUUCUUCUUACCUUCCUUCCUACUCUCCUUUAUUUUUGGAAGCUGCAUUCACCCUACUGGAAGAACCUAUUCUGAACAUAAAGUAAUUUGCCUCAUCCUGCUUAUCCCCAUGACAAAUAGUUUAAGUAGCAUCUGGUGAGACAAGAGAAAAGAGUAACUAUACAUUUACCCUUCUGCACCCUCAUCUUCUACCCAGCUGUCUCUCCUCCCUUUUCCUCUUUAUCAAUAUUUUCCCCUUCUUUGGACCAACUAUUUAAACUGUUCUUAAAAUUUAUUAAAUAGAAGUGGACCUCCAGCAAUUUUUCUUGCUCCUAUAAUCUAAAGUAUUCAAACUCCUCACUUGAAACAUGAAAGAAAAUCAGGAUGUAAACGUUCCCCUUUUUAAACUUUUUUAUUUUCUAAACCAUCUUCCUCUGCAUAAAGUCAGUCUGCCACUCUAAACAGCACUUGUCAGGAAUGUGUGAAGUUAUUAAAAGAGAAGGAACUUUAGAAGAUCUAAAUUCAAAUUACCUUGACUACCAUUCUUUAGUAAUAAAAGGGGAGAUAGAAAGAAGACAGAAACCACCAGAUUUUCUAAAAUCUCCAGCAAUAUUCAUCCAUCUAAAGCAUCUGAGAAACAAUGACCCAAGUUAUAUUGGGAGAGAUAUUUUAGCUCUCUUGCCUGAAUCUAACUCACAGAAACUGGGGAAAUAUCAAAAAUCACUUAUUCUAAAUGUUUCGGUCAAGAAGUGUUUUGGAUUUCAGAUUUUGGAAUAUUUGCAUAUACAUAGUGAGAUAUCUUAGGGGUGGGACCCAAGUCUAAACACAAAAUUCAUUUAUGUUUUAUAUGCCCUUUAAACACCAUAGCCUGAAGUUAAUUUAAUAUAAUAUUUUUAAUAGUUUUGUGCAUGAAACAAAGUUUUGACUGUUUGACUGUAACCCAUUACCUAAAGUCAGGUGUGGAAUUUUCCACUUGUUACCUGGAGUGCAUCAUGUUGGCAUUGAAAUAGUUUUGGAUUUUGGAGCAUCGGAUUUCAGAUUUUUGGAUUAAGGAUGUUCAACCUGUAUUAGAUAGCCUGGUGCUUUUCUCCUCAUAAUCACUCCAAUAAUAAUGAAAGGAUAAUCAUAAAGAUGACAACAAUUACAACAAAGAUGAUAAAAAAAAUUAAGCCACUUGGCAACACUAUUUGUGGCCUCAUGAAAAUGACUCCCAAUGUCAUAAUUCCCUCUGAGAUCCCCACAAUAAAAAACUAUUGGAACUAGAACUGCAUACCGCAGUUAUUGGUCAUUUCACAUGGUGCCAUGUUCAGGCAUAGCUGGUAUGAGUGCUAUUUGCUUUCAUCCAGGGGAGCCAUUCUCAGUAAGCUUCAUCUCUGUGCUGAUGAGAGCCUGGGUCUGUUCUUCUAGCCCAGGAUCUUCACAUCUCUCAAAGGACUGCAGCUCUCCUUAGAUAUUCUGUGUACCACAGGAAGGGGCUGUACCAAUUUACAGCAAUCUCUUUUCAACAUGGUAACUAAUGCAAGUAUUAGACCACAAGGCUUCUCUUUGGAAACUUGUCCAAAGGCUGUCAUCUCUGCUAUUCAUUCAUUCAUUCAUUUAGUCAACAAAUAUUUAUUAAGCAACAAACGUGUGCAAGGCACUGUUCUUGGCAUAGUGAACAAAACAGAUUAAAAUUCUGAUCUUGUGGAACUUGCAUUCUAAUAAGGGAGACAAUUUUUUUUUAAAAUGAAGUAAAAUAGAUAGGGCGAUAGGGAGUGCUGGGCCCAGGAAGAAAGGGUUACAAUACUAAAUAUGAUAGUUAGGGAAGCCCUCAAAUUUGAACAAGGAUCUGCAGGAAGUGAAGUAUGUUGAUAUCUGGGGAAGAGGGAACAACAAAAGCAAAGGAAUUGAUACAGGAAUGUUGCUGGUGUCUGAGAUAUGGCAAGCAGGUCUGGGUGGCCAGAGAGGAGUAAAGUAGGAAAAAAGGAAAAGUAGGUGGGGUUGGAAAAAUAAUGGGGAGCCAAGACUGGGUAAGGUUUUGUAGGCUAUUGUAAGUACUUAGACUUCUACUAAGUGAUGGAAAGCAACUGAUAAAAGUUGACUUUCAAUUGGAAAGAGCCAUGAAAGUUGAUGGAUGGUCAACUUUUGACCUGAGGAAUGACAUGACCUAUUGUAGGUUUUAGAAAAGUCCUUCCGGUAGAUUUAAUGAACAUUCACUGAAAGAUAAAAAAGAGGGUAAUUGAAAUAAUCCAUGCAAGAGAUGAUUGUAGCUUGGAUAAGGAUGGUAGUAGAGGGGUGGUGAGAAGUGGUAAGAGUUUUGCUGAAGGAUUAUACAUGGGUUGUAGGUAAGAAACCUCAAGGUUGAUACCAGGAUGUUUGAUCUGAGCAGCUAGAUGGAUGAAGUUGACAUUUAUCGCAGGACAGUUCCCUGAAUGGCCCUGGACCCACCCAGUUCUCCCCCUUUCUUGUUUACAGUUACCAAGAAUAACUGUAAAAUGUGCUGGGAAUGCAAUGUCCUGAGAUAAGGAAGAACUGCCUGAAACAGCCUGGAUCUUAUUCCUGUACUUCCUAGGGAAUGUAACAUCUCAAGUUAAAGAGGAACUGCCCGGAACAGCCCGGGGAUUGUUCCUCUCUCCUGAGAAGGAAGAUUACCUCCAAAGCUCAUCCACUGAGUCACACUGCCCCUGUGGUGGAGGGCGGGCUGCCUUUCCAGGUUCCUCAGCUGUGGUGUAACUGAAGCAGGCACAAUCAAGACUCCAUCUGCUCGAGGCAGCUUUCUCGAACCUUGGGGAACCUACUCACAAUGGAUCACAGGCUUCUUUUGUUUUGUUUCUUGCUGCCUAUCUUGGGAAGCAAAAAUCAGCUGAGUGAAGAUGAGGAAGAAGGUGUUAAAGGUUUGAAGAAAAAAGGAAAAGGAUAUACUAAUCUAAGAGGACAAGUAAGUAGAACAUAGAUAAUGAAAAUGCUGGCCCUUAGGACUGUUGGGCCUAAAUGCUCAUAUUAUAUUGGUAGUCACAAAUUUGAACUUUCUCUAGAGCCAAUUUUUGCAUGUGUGUGCAGGCCUGGAGUAGUUGGAGAGUUGGAUUUAAUAGAAUUGAGGGUCAAGCAACUACAACCAGGGAAGAGUGGGACAAGGGAGAUAAAGGAUAUUGGCAGGGGAGCAAUUAUAAACAUGGACCAUGAUCAAAACUGGACAGGAAGGAAAAUAGAGAUAAGAGGGGUGGAAGGUUAAAAAUAGUGAAAAUGAGAUAGAAUGAAUAGGUUGUAGGUCCCUGUAAAGUUGAAGAAGUAUUAUUAUGCAGUACUCGUUAUUGAAAUGAGGUCACUAUGCUUAAGGCACAGUGAAUCCUAGAAAAUAGUGGUUUUGUUUCUCAUUAGGCAAUACAUUCCUCCUUGCUCCAGAAUGCAACAUACAUGUAUCCUUUUCUGUACUAUUUUUUAUUAAGAAUUCAUACUUAAUUCCACUGACUGCCACUCAAUUUUAAUGUACAGUAGGGAAUUCCUGUACUAUGUAUUAUGAAUCCAUUCCUUUGAAUUUCAUUUAUAAUACUUCAUGACUGACACCUGGCUUUCCACCAAGACUCAAUUUUCAUAGCAAGCCUCAUCAUCAUAAGCCCCCAAAUUAACAGGAUGAGGAGGAAGAAUUGGCAGGCUAAAGAAGAUGAUUAUAUCAAUUAAUGCAGAAAAAGCAUUUGAUAAAAUCCAAUAUUCAUUUGUAAUUAAAAACUCUCAGCAAGUUAGGGAUAGGAAUUACUUCAACUUAAUGAAGAGUGUCUUUAAAAACCUUAUUUUCAUCAGUUAUAACAAAUGUACCACUCUGGUGGUGAAUGUUGCUAAGGAGGGAAGCUAUACAUGUGUGGGGAAAGGAGAUGUGUGAGCAAUUUCUGUACCUUCUACUCAAUCUUCUGUGAGACUAAAAUUGCUGUAAAAAAUAAAGUUCAUUUUUUUAAAAACCUACAGCUGUCAUUCUUAAUGCUGAAAGACAGAAUGCUUUUCUCUAAGAUAGGGAACAAGGCAAAGAUUCAGUUCUCACCACUCCUAUUCAACACAGCACUACAAGUUCUAGCCACUGAAAUGGGGGUUGGGGGGAAGCAGAAGAAGAAAAGAAAUAAAAUGUAUACAGUUUCAAAAGGAAGAAUUAAAAUAGUCCCUGUGUGCAGAUGACAUGAUUGUCUAUUUAGUAAACCCAUGGAUUAUACAAAAAUAAAAUUCCGAGAACUUAAAAAGUGAUUUCAGCAAGAUCACAGGAUAUAAGAUCGAGAUGAAAACCAAUGUCAUUUCUAUAUACAGUAAGUCCUCUCUCUUAAUAUCAUCAAUAGGUUCUUGGAAACUGACUUUAAGCAAAACAACAUAAAACUAAACCCAAUUUUUCAUCAUCAAAGUUAUAACAAAAUGAUGUUGAACAAAACUACAUUAUUUCAGGACCUGCCAUACAUCAUGUCACUUAAAAUUACAGUUUCUAAGAACCUACCAAUGGCAUUAUGUGAGAAUUACUGUAGUAACAAUAAACGUAUGAAAACCAAAAUUAAAACACAUUUACAAUCAACCCAAGGAAAAUGAAAUAUUGAGGUAUAAACUUAAUGUUUUAUGAGGCAACUUAAUGAGGCAAAAAAAUGUAUACUAUCUGAUGCUGAAAAUUGCAAAUGCUGAUGAAAGAAAUCAGUGAUGACAAAUAAACAGAGAGACAUACUAUAGUCACAAAUUGGAAGACUCAACAUAGUAAAAAUGUCAAUUUGCCUCAAAGUAAUCUGUAGGUAUAAGACAAUUAUCAAAAUUCAGGGAAGUUUUUUGUAGGCAUUGGCUAGCCUAUUCUAAAAUUUAUAUGAAAAGCACAAACCUUAGAAUAUCUAAGAUAAUCUGAAAAGAAGAAUAAAGUGAGAGGAAUCACUCUACCUGAUAUUAAGCUUUAUAAUACAGUAACAGUACUCAAGACUGUGUGGUAUUUGCCAAGGCAUGGACUCAGAUCAAUGGAACAGAAGAGAAAACACAGGAAUAGACCCAUAUAAACAUUUCCAACUGAUUGUUUUCCAAUCGAUUUGUGACAAAAGUGCAGAAGUAAUUCAGUGAAGGAAGGAUAGCCUUGCAACAAGUUGUGCUGAAGCAGUGAGCACCCAUAGGCAAAAAGAAAAAGAGAACAUCAACCUUAACCUCACAUCUUAUACAAAAAUUAAUCCAAAAUUGAUAAUAGACUUAAAUGUAAAAUAUAAAACAUUUCACAAAAAUAGAAGAAAGUCUUCAGGAUCUAGGACUAGGCAAAUAAUUCUUAAAUGAUAUCAAAAGCAUAAUUCAUAAAGGGAAAAGUUGAUAAAUUAGACCUCAUUAAAAUUAAAAACUUAUGGAAAAUGUGCUGUUAAGAGGAUAAAAAAUAUAAGCUACAGACUGAAAGAAAAUAUUUGCAAGCCACAUAACUGACAAAGGACUAGUAUCUAGAAUAUAUAAAGAAUUUUCAAUACUCAGUUGUAAAAACAAAAUAAUUCAACCAGAAAAUUGAUAUGAGCAAACAUGUCACUGAAGAGGAUGUACAGAUGGCAAAAAUGCAUGUAAAAAGAUUUCAACUUCAUAAACCGUUAGGGAAAUGUGAAUUAAGCAACCAAUCAGAAUGGUUAAAAUGUUUAAAAAAUAGUAACACCACCAAAUAUUGGCAAGGAUAUAAAGGAAUCGAAUCACUCAUGCAUUGCUAGUAAAAAAUGUAAAGAGGUACAGCCACACUGGGAAACCUUUUCAUGGUUUUCUAAAAACUAAGCAUGGAGUUACCAUACAUCCCAGCAGUUCUACUCAUCAGCAUUUAUCCCAGAGAAAUAAAAAUUUAUGUUUACACUAAAACCUAUAUAUGAAUGUUCAUAAUAGCAUUUUUCAUAGUAGCCAAAAAUUGGAACCGUCUCAGGUGUCCUACCAUGGGUGAAUGGUUAAACAAACUAUGGUGCAUCUAUAUCUACCAUGAAGUAGAACUCAGCAAUAAAAAGGAAUGAACUAUUCAUACACCUUAUAACUUGGAUGCAUCUCCAGGUAAUUGUGCUGAGUGAAAAAAAAAAAAAAAAGCCCCAAUUCCAAAAGGUUAUAUACUCUAUGAUUCUACUUCUGCAAUGUUUAUUAAAUGAUAAAAUUACAGAAGUGGGAAAAUGAUUAGUGGUUUCCAGGGGGUAUAUACAGUAAGGGUGAGAGGGCCGGAAGAGUGCAGUUUUAUAAGGGCAACAUAAGGGACCCUUAUGGUGAUGGGACUGUUCUGUAUCUUGACUCUGUUGGUAGUCACAUGAAUCUACACAUGAUAAAAUUGCAUAGAAUUAAACAUAUAUACACACUCAAAUGAAUGCAUGUAAAACCGGUAAAAUCUGAAUAAGGUAAAUGGAUCAUAAUCAAUGUCAAUUUUCCAUUUGUGAUAUUAUACUAUAGUUAUGUAAGAUGAUGUUAGCAUUGGGAGAAACUGGGUGAUGGAUAUACAGAAUCUUUCUGUAUUAUUUCUUGUAAUUGCAUAUGUAUCUCAAUGGUCUCAAAAUAAAAAGUUAAAUAAAUAAGAGAGACCAAAAAGUGGCUUUCCAGUGGAGAACUGAGAUAAUCUGAGCAUCUUAUGCUCUAAAUAAAGUAUGCAAUAAAAAUAAAAUAUAUAUAUAUAUAUAUAUAUAUAUCUGUAAGUCAUAUUGAAAGUUACACACCAUUUUGGGGAAAAGUCAAGUAAAAACAGCAGUAUACACUAUUAGCUUUAACAUUAGGCUUUGAGACUAUCUCUGGCCUUUUCUCUGGCCAAAGGGAAAGAAAUCCUCAGAUCUACUCUGAAGCCUUUCUUAGACUGAGAAGCCUCUGAUAGCAUUUCAAAGCAGCUUAGUGCCAAACAUUCUUUGAGCAUCCAGUAAGAGUCUGUUUGCAACUUAAUAGAAAGAUUUUUUAAGUUGCCUUUUGACUAUACACAAUGAGUUCUCUUUUUAUCUGGUUCCUGAUUACUCUCUGACCUUUAUCAUACAAAGAAAGAUCUUUCAGCCUAUUCCAAUCUGUACUAAAAUUCAGAUAAGAGGAAGCAUCCUCAAAGCUGGAUUAUCUGACUCUGAAGCCAGCGUGAUCCUCCUACUGCCUUCAGCAGCUUUUCGUAGUGUUCAGCCAGAACUGACAUUUCUACAUUCUACACUGCCAGCCUUUAAUGACCUCUCUCAUCUCCAAACUUCUAUAACAAUUAUUACCUAUACUAUGCAAUAAAAAACACUCAUUUUAAGUAUAAGUUUAAUGCCAUGUUGACAAAUGAAUUCAGCCCUGUGUGACCAUUGUCAUAAUCAAGUAACAGAACAUUUCCAUCACCCUAAAAAGUUCCCUUGGCCUCUUGCUCUUUUCCCCAGCCCCAGGCAACCAUUAUUUUGCUUUUUAUCACUAUAGUUUUGUCUGUUCUAGAAUUUUACUUAAGUGAAAGCAAAAGUGAAUAUUCUUUUGUCAUCUGGCUUCUUUAAAUUCUUCAGCAUAAUUUUUUAUAUUUAUGCAGUUCUUCUUAUCAGUUUAUUUUUAUUGGUGAGUAGUAGUCUUUUGUUAUAUAAGUUAUAUAAGUGGUAUUAUAUUUUGUUUAUUCAUUUACCUGUUCUUGGAUGUUGAGUCACCGCAAGUUUUGGACUAUUACAAAUAAAGCUGAUAUGAAUAUUCAUGUAUGAGUCUUUGUAUGCCAUCAUAUGCUUUCAUUUCUCUUGGGUAAAUAACUAGAAGUGGAAUGACUGGAUCUAAUGGUAAGUGUAUAUUUGUUUAAUAUACACUUUAUAAAUACUCGAGCAUUUAUAAAGUAUUUUACAUUCCCAUCAACAACACAUGAGAGUUAGCAUUCUUGCUAACACUUGCUUAUUCUUUUUAUUGUAGCCAUUCUGGUGUGUGUAUAGUUAUCUAUCAUAUGGUUCUAAAUUACAUUUUCCUGAUGACUAAUAAUGUUGCACAUCUUUGUAUGUGCUUACCAGCUUCCAUAUGUCUUUUUAUUUUUUGAGAGUUCUCACUAUAUUUCCCAGGCUGAUCUGAAACUCCAGGGCUCAACCAACCCUCCUGCUUCAGUCUCCAGAGUAACUGGGAUUACAGGUACAUACCACCAUGCCCAGCUCAUAUAUUUUCUUUUGUGAAGUUAUGCUAAAAUCUUCUGCUUAUUUUUAAUUGGGUUGUUUCUCUUCUUAUGACUGAGUUUAUAUAUUAUGGAUAAAAUUCUUUGUCAGGUACACAGAUUAUUAAAAAUUACCUCCCAAUUCAUGGCUUACUUUUUGUUUUGCUUACGAAUGUCUUUGAAAAUCAAUGUUUUCAUUUUAAUAAGAUCCAAUUUAUCAUUUUUUUUAAGUUUUGCUAUUAGCCAUUUUGUCUUCUAUGAAAAUUUUGCCUACCCCAACGUCAUGAAGAUUUUCUCCUAUGCUUUUGUCUAGAUGUGUUAUAGUUACAUCAUUUAUAUUUAGUGCUAGGAUGCAUUCUAAAUUUCUUUUGAUUCAAAAAUAAUAAUAAAAACCAGAGCUCAACACCCUUUGUCUCCAUUAAUAUGAAACUUAUUUUAAGUGAACCUGUUAGAGGAUCUAUGUUUUAUUUUAAAAAACAAAGAAUUACCAACAAUGUAAUAAAUAAGAACAUUAAGAUCUAUCAAUGAGGGUUUCAAAUAUGUAAACUGUUUAGAUUUUUAGAAAACUGCCUAGAUUUCACAUCUACCAAGGCAAAAGCAUUAACUGUAAGAAUUUGCACCUUAAUUGUGCGCUCUUCAAGAAUUCCACCUCUGGUUCUGUCUUUGCUCUUGAAAUUCUCACAGCUCAAUAGGUUUUGCAUAGAAGACAUGAGAACAGGAGGGCUCAAUAGCAAUUCUCCCCUUUUCCUGUAGUCAAGAGUUAGAAGAACCAUUACACAAUCAGUAAAUUCUAAACCUUCUGCAUUUGUUCUCCUUCCUCUUCUCUGAUGUUCUAUUUUCAGUGAUUUAUCCUCUGAAAUGGGUUAGUCUCAGAAAAUGUAAGAGGGAAUUUCACAAUCAGGAAAAGCAUUUGUAAUAUUGAUUCUUUUUAAAAUGUAUGUGAAAACACAUAUGAAUAAGCACUUCGCUUUUUUUUUUUUUUUUUUUUUUGAGACAGAGUCUCGCUUUGUUGCCCAGGCUGGAGUGCAGUGGCGCGAUCUCGGCUCACUGCAACCUCCGCCUCCCGAGUUGAAGCAAUUCUCCUGCCUCAGCCCCCU
This 12904-nucleotide long non-coding RNA is filed under the name Homo sapiens (human). Its description in RNAcentral is "non-protein coding TRHDE-AS1:27". Lineage: Eukaryota; Metazoa; Chordata; Mammalia; Primates; Hominidae. The record is from RNAcentral.